UGGUGGGAGUGACUAAAAGGCUGACAGACAGAGAGAGGGCAGGGGGCUGUCCCCAAGGAACAGAACAAGGGUUGUCUUGACCUGGUAGAACAGGAUUUGUUAUCAAAAGGAGAUAACUGAGGCUUCUCCUAUCUUUUUAACUGGGAGUGCUUUUCAAGGUCUCCACAGUUAGGAAUCUGGAAGGCAUAGGAAGAUCUGUACCAACUGCUUUAUGAAGCAAAGGCCUAUUGAAAAGAAUAUAAAAGCUUUUUUGCCUCUAUUUUUAUUGGUAGGUGAAGGAUGUACAAGUUGAUGCUGUUAGAAUUGUGGUAGCUUGAUUUUUUGGGUUUUGUUUGUUUUUUGGAGGGUUUUUUCCUUUUAGGAAGAUGAAGGGAAGAUUUUAUAAUUAUCUUUCUAUACAAAGGGCAGGAUAUAGAGAAGUUUGCUAAGUUGUGCAUAGUGAAAGUAUAAGAAACAACAGUUCCAGUUGAAAUGCAAAAAGUUCUGAAUGGGUGUAAGAGCAAAAAUACUUCCCUGUGAGGAUGAUCACAUCCUGGGAAGGGCUUAUGCCUGGAGACCUUUUGUAAUCCUCAGUCCUUGGAGCUCUGUGGAACUCAGCUGAGCAGCCUGGUCUCAUUGGACCUACUUGGCGCAAAUGUUAGGCUGCAUAACCUCUAGAGUUGCCUUUCAGCCUUAAAUAGCCUGUAAUGUUAUGAGUCACUAGACUGACAAGCUUGUAGAAUUAAACUCUCCUUAUAUUUUUAGAUUAUUAGUCAGAUUUCAUGAAGUAUGGUAUUUGAAUUUUUCCUCAUUGCCACCAGUGUUUAUGACCCAGUGUUUAUGGAUUAGCUAUAUAAAAAACAUCAGCUUGUUUUUACUGUUUGAGUAAGGACUGAAGUUUGUGCUUGACUUACAAUAUUUUUAAGUUCAUAGUUUUUAGAAUGAUUGACCUUGUGUGUACAAAAUGGGUGGGGUUUUUUUCAGUUGUUUCUGCUGUAUUGUUUUUAGAGCUUGUCAGUCAAGGUAUUUACAUCUUCAGAGCUAGAGAGGCUUUUCUUUACCCAUAAUCAGAUUUUAAUAGAGAGGAUUAAAGCAGAUACCUUGGAACUGCUGUUUCUGAUGUUUCAUGGCCUGAACGGGUUUUUAAUGUUACUGCAUGGCUGGUGCCCUGGGCCUUUGAUCUGAAAAGAAAAAUGUUACUGAUGUGAUUUAAGCCAGACUUAGCCUUAAAUGGCUGACUGAGUAAACUCAAUGUAUUCUGGAAGGUCAUUAAAGAGGUGGUUAUGUCUUUUCUUUUGCAUGGGCAAAUUACUUUUUGGAGCUGUGCACAUAUAUUUGCAUCAUUGUUAGUGGAUUUGUGGGUCUACUCUAGAAAGUGAAAAUAAAUAAUCUUUCAGGAGAAGCAUGACCUAUGACUGAAGCUUUGUUUUAUUUUGAGGGUGAUACUAUUCCUUGAUCUUGGCUUAAUUGUGUCUUCUCCAAAUACACAAGUUAACCUCCUUCCUGCUCUGUUAGAUUCUA
This is a non-coding RNA of Sturnus vulgaris (Common starling), 1500 nucleotides long. Lineage: Eukaryota; Metazoa; Chordata; Aves; Passeriformes; Sturnidae. The record is from RefSeq and is a predicted model, not a curated record.